GUGAAUCAUCAAAUUUUUGAACGCAAAUUGCACUCUCUUCGGAGAGUAUGCCUGUUUGAGGGUCAGCCUAUAAAAAAUCGACAUCGUUGCUGUUUCGCGGUGACGUUCGUCGGAAAUUGGGUCAUCUUAAAUCUUUUGGUUUUAAGCGACUUAAAAUUUUCUUUACGAUUCCAUGAACGUUUCUAAGAUUUACUUCUUACGUUUUAUGUAUCUACUUUUAUUAGUAGCUUCGC
RNAcentral lists this unclassified non-coding RNA (233 nucleotides) under Glomeraceae sp. RNAcentral's name for it is "partial contains 5.8S ribosomal RNA and internal transcribed spacer 2". The stretch from base 1 to 65 matches the Rfam family "5.8S ribosomal RNA", at positions 84 to 154 of the family's 154-position model. Lineage: Eukaryota; Fungi; Glomeromycota; Glomeromycetes; Glomerales; Glomeraceae. The record is from RNAcentral.